This 253-nucleotide ribosomal RNA is filed under the name uncultured bacterium. Its description in RNAcentral is "partial 16S ribosomal RNA". It matches the Rfam family "Bacterial small subunit ribosomal RNA", at positions 524 to 776 of the family's 1533-position model. The record is from RNAcentral.
UACGGAGGGAGCUAGCGUUGUUCGGAAUUACUGGGCGUAAAGCGCGCGUAGGCGGCUUUGUAAGUUAGAGGUGAAAGCCCGGGGCUCAACCCCGGAACUGCCUUUAAAACUGCAUCGCUUGAAUCCAGGAGAGGUGAGUGGAAUUCCGAGUGUAGAGGUGAAAUUCGUAGAUAUUCGGAAGAACACCAGUGGCGAAGGCGGCUCACUGGACUGGUAUUGACGCUGAUGUGCGAAAGCGUGGGGAGCAAACAGG